UGGGGAAUAUUGCACAAUGGGCGCAAGCCUGAUGCAGCCAUGCCGCGUGUAUGAAGAAGGCCUUCGGGUUGUAAAGUACUUUCAGCGAGGAGGAAGGCGUUGUGGUUAAUAACCGCAACGAUUGACGUUACUCGCAGAAGAAGCACCGGCUAACUCCGUGCCAGCAGCCGCGGUAAUACGGAGGGUGCAAGCGUUAAUCGGAAUUACUGGGCGUAAAGCGCACGCAGGCGGUCGGUCAAGUCGGAUGUGAAAUCCCCGGGCUCAACCUGGGAACUGCAUCCGAAACUGGCAGGCUAGAGUCUUGUAGAGGGGGGUAGAAUUCCAGGUGUAGCGGUGAAAUGCGUAGAGAUCUGGAGGAAUACCGGUGGCGAAGGCGGCCCCCUGGACAAAGACUGACGCUCAGGUGCGAAAGCGUGGGGAGCAAACA
RNAcentral lists this ribosomal RNA (427 nucleotides) under uncultured bacterium. RNAcentral describes it as "partial 16S ribosomal RNA". It matches the Rfam family "Bacterial small subunit ribosomal RNA", at positions 355 to 774 of the family's 1533-position model. The record is from RNAcentral.